Molecule: RNA transcript, 1450 nt
Organism: Ictalurus furcatus (blue catfish)
Lineage: Eukaryota; Metazoa; Chordata; Actinopteri; Siluriformes; Ictaluridae
Gene name: CD276 antigen homolog
Exons: 6
Source: RefSeq, a predicted model, not a curated record
CCUGGGUUCAUUCGUAACGGACGUUAGCCUUUUGUAAAUAUUUGUGUUCUGUAAAUUUAUAUUUUAUUAAUUUUAUUAGAAACUGUUUCCACGGGGUUGUACGCAAUGAAUGUGAGCUGGAUUUUCUACUUCACCUUCCUGCUUCUGAUACACACAGUGUCGGUGCAGAGUGUCCCUGUUGAAGGUUUUAUAGGAGAAUCAGUGAUCGUACCGUGUUCAUUUGGAGGGAAGCUGCAGACUGUGCAUUGGCAAGACAGAUACAGCUGGGUGGUGUGUGACAUCAGUGGCGGUAAAGCAGAUUUCGAUGAUCAGCAUCCAGUCUAUAAAGACAGAGUUACAAUUUUUCCAUCAGAAAUGGAAAAGGGGAAUUUCUCCAUCAUGCUGAGCAACGUGAAGGAAUCUGAUGCAGGAACGUACAUCUGCAUCACCCCAAACAUCAAUCCAUCAACCGUGACACUAGAACUAACUGUGAAAGCUGAUGAGACACAAGCACUUGUCUAAGGACCAGGCUCCUGACCUGUUCUCUCUGGAGCUGGCUGGUAUGGAGGAGCUCGCCCGGCACUAUGGCACGGACUCCCCCCAGUUCCAGGACGCCUGAGAGAUUCUGGUAGCAGCGCUGCAGAAGUUCGCCGAUGACGUCUUCGGCGUUUGCACCAGCAGCACGGUGGUGGAGGUGGUGACGGUGAAGACGUUCGAGAUGCCGCUGACCAGGAAGUCGCGCUCUAUCCUGGUGGCUAAGCAGAUUAGUAACCCAGGAAGCCCCUACAACCUGGCCUACAAGUACAACUUCGAAUACGCCGUCGUGUUCAACAUCGUGCUGUGGCUCAUGAUCAUGUUGGCUCUCGCCGUCAUCAUCAUCUCAUACAACCUGUGGAACAUGGACCCGGGCUACGACAGCAUCAUCUACAGGAUGACCAAUCAGAAGAUCCGCAUGGACUAACCGUGCAUUCCAUCGCAGUGUUGUUGUGUGUGUGUGUGUGUGUGUGUGUGUGUGUACACAGGUUUCUCACUUCCAUCCAUCCCAUACGUCAAGUGUUUGUGUGUGUGUGUAUAUAUAGCUCUAAAACGUCAGUUUGUGAAUAUUUAUUGAUGCCUGCUAUUUUGUUGAAAAUCUAAAUGAAUACGUAUAUGAUAUACACACAGCGGAUGAAUGAAUUCGAACGAAAUUGCGCUCACGUGUGGUGUUGUGUUCCUGAUCUAGCUACAUGUUGAAUCAGCUGUAUUUAUUAUUGUUUUGUUUUUUUAUUCCUGAUACACUGGACCAUAAUGUCUGAUACUGAUGUAAUGGGGGUGGGGUGAUGCACAAAAAUUGCAUGCAGUAAAACUUCACCUAGGUGUGAUGUUAAAACUAGGAGAUCGUUGGCGUGGUUUUAUUUGGAAAAGUCAGAGACAGUUGGUUAAAAAAAUGUUAGAAAUAUAAUUGUUUGAUCUGACAUGCAGCGAUUGAAGG